RNAcentral lists this small RNA (553 nucleotides) under Pongo abelii (Sumatran orangutan). RNAcentral describes it as "retained intron". The record is from RNAcentral. Lineage: Eukaryota; Metazoa; Chordata; Mammalia; Primates; Hominidae.
UGUGCAGCCAGAAAUGCACCUUCCCCACCCAGGUAAGCUUUGUGUCUCUGCUUAUAUGCUUCCAGUACCUGAGGAUAUAUGUUGGGAGUGCCACAAAACCCAUCCUCCUGAGCUUUGUGCUGCUAGCCUGGGAGUCUGGCCAUCCUGGCUGCUUGGACAACAAAUUCCUCUUGUGUCCAUCCUGAGGACUUCCAUUCUGAGCCUGAUGAUACUGAGCAGUCCAGCCGGGCCAUCCUAUGAAAAUGAUGUUAAUUUUUCAGUUUUUUUCUUCUCCUUAUCCAGGUUUACAUCCCCACCAGACACCAGCUCCUCUGCCCAAUCCAGGCCUCUAUCCCCCACCAGUGUCCAUGUCUCCAGGACAGCCACCACCUCAGCAGUUGCUUGCUCCUACUUACUUUUCUGCUCCAGGCGUCAUGAACUUUGGUAAUCCCAGUUACCCUUAUGCUCCAGGGGCACUGCCUCCCCCACCGCCGCCUCAUCUAUAUCCUAAUACACAGGCCCCAUCACAGGUAUAUGGAGGAGUGACCUACUAUAACCCCGCCCAGCAGCAGGU